This 500-nucleotide ribosomal RNA is filed under the name uncultured bacterium. RNAcentral describes it as "partial 16S ribosomal RNA". It matches the Rfam family "Bacterial small subunit ribosomal RNA", at positions 30 to 523 of the family's 1533-position model. The record is from RNAcentral.
AUUGAACGCUGGCGGAAUGCUUUACACAUGCAAGUCGAACGGCAGCACGGACUUCGGUCUGGUGGCGAGUGGCGAACGGGUGAGUAAUGUAUCGGAACGUGCCCAGUCGUGGGGGAUAACGUAGUGAAAAUUACGCUAAUACCGCAUACGAUCUAUGGAUGAAAGCGGGGGAUCGCAAGACCUCGCGCGAUUGGAGCGGCCGAUAUCAGAUUAGGUAGUUGGUGGGGUAAAGGCCCACCAAGCAAACGCUCUGUAGCUGGUAUGAGAGGACGAGCAAGCACGCUGGAAGUGGGACACGGUACAGACUGCUAAGGGAGGCAGCAGUGGGGAAUUUUGGAAAAUGGGCGAACACUAGUUCCAGCCAUUCAGCGUGCAGAAUGAUGGCCCUCGGGUUGUAAACUGCUUUUGAACAGAACGAAAAGGUUUCUACUAAUACUAGGAGCUCAUGACGGUACUGUAAGAAUAAGCACCGGCUAACUACGUGCCAGCAGCCGCCGCGG